CCUACGGGAGACAGCAGUGAGGAAUAUUGGUCAAUGGGCGAGAGCCUGAACCAGCAAAGCCGCGUGAGGGAGUACUGCCCUAUGGGUUGUAAACCUCUUUUGUCGGGGAGCAAAAGCCGGACGUGUCCGGCUGUGAGAGUACCCGCAGAAACAGCAUCGGCUAACUCCGUGCAAGCAGCCGCGGUAAUUCGGAGGAUGCGAGCGUUAUCCGGUUUUAUUGGGUGUAAAGGGUGCGCAGGCGGAUUUUUAAGUCAGCGGUAAAAUCGUGGGGCUCAACCCCAUCCAGCCGUUGAAACUGGGGAUCUAGAGUGUGCGAGAGGUAUGCGGAAUGCGUGGGGUAGCGGUGAAAUGCAUAGAUAUCACGCGGAACCCCGGUGGCGAAGGCAGCAUGCCGGUGCACAACUGACGCUCAGGCACGAAAGCGUGGGUAUCGAACAGGAUUAGAUACCCCUGUAGUC
Molecule: ribosomal RNA, 458 nt
Filed under: uncultured bacterium
Lineage: Bacteria
Description: partial 16S ribosomal RNA
Rfam family: Bacterial small subunit ribosomal RNA
Source: RNAcentral